AAGAUGGCGACCGGCGCACGGGUGAGUAACAUGUAUCCAACCUGCCGAUAACUCCGGAAUAGCCUUUCGAAAGAAAGAUUAAUACCGGAUGGCAUACGAAUAUCGCAUGAUAUUUUUAUUAAAGAAUUUCGGUUAUCGAUGGGGAUACGUUCCAUUAGUUUGUUGGCGGGGUAACGGCCCACCAAGACUACGAUGGAUAGGGGUUCUGAGAGGAAGGUCCCCCACAUUGGAACUGAGACACGGUCCAA
Molecule: ribosomal RNA, 248 nt
Filed under: uncultured bacterium
Lineage: Bacteria
Description: partial 16S ribosomal RNA
Rfam family: Bacterial small subunit ribosomal RNA
Source: RNAcentral